UCGGAAGAGCUCAGGCUGCCAUAAGUAUCAGACGGUGCCCAUGCAAAGAGGCAACUACACGGCAGGCCAGGGGGGUGAAGGCACAGAACGGACACCAUUGGACGGGAGCAAAGAUGAUGGGUCCAUGGCUCCUGUCUCAGCCGGGGACAGGAGAUGGGAGACCGCAUGCAAGUGGCUUUGCAAAUAAAAGGCUCCAACUUUGCAAAUAAAAGCCUGUGUUCUACUCACACGUGCCCCACACAACCAGGCUGCAGCCGUGAGCAAAGGAGUUGCAGCAUUUAUUUCAUAACUAUCCAUGUCUCCCACUUCACCAACUUCCUGAAGAUCUCCGACUUUACCCAGGCUCCUGAAAACAGCAUCAGCCGCUGCUUGCUGCAAAAGGCCAUCGCAGGCUGUGCCCCCGAGUCCCGGGCCACACCCUGAGAUCAGCACUAUCAUCACACCUGUGCCACGCACCUGUGAUGUCCCGAGUGCACUGGCCUCCCCGGCAGGGGCAGAGUGUCCAUUUUCCCUUGCUUGUUUAGCAUCUCUCUCCUCAUUAGGACGGACGCACCACGUGCCUGGGCCUGUUCUCCAUCUGAUUCCCCGAGGUAGUCCCGGCUUCUAGAACAGUUACUGACACGUUGUUGGCGCUCGGUCACCACCUGAGAAGGGGCUGCAUGGACCGACCUCAGCAUCCCGGGCCGCCCUUGAGUGCCUUGCCCUGCCCCGGCACCGCCCGUGUCUUUCCUAUUCUCAGUCUUUUCCACUUGACACUCAGCAUUUCCGUCUUCCUUACAAAGUCAUUGAAAGAGGAAACUAACAGAAAUGAUCCCACAUGGAGAAUUAGAUUCAUCUUUUCCCCGUCUCGUCUCGAGCGGGGACCUGCGCGCUAAGGGAGGCGCUUUCUCGGCCUCGUCUCAACUGAGCCAAUUUGCGGGAAGAGCUGGGGAGGAUCCGGGGCAGGAGCUCUUCCACGCCUGGCCACAGACGCGGCUGGGACUACAGCCGCACCACGCCCGGCGGGAUUCAGACUCGGCCCCACGCUACACGCCACCAGGCAGACAUUGGACAAAAGGUGGGAGGUGUUUCCCCCAGGGACCGACAGCUGGGCAUUGUGUACCUCCAGAUGGGAUACCCUGCGGAGGACACAGCAUCCCCCAGGACCCCACAUCCCAGCACUGACGAUUGUCACAGAGAAAUGCACGAAGUCCAAGCCCUGGCGCUGCUGCCUGUCCCCGCUGACGUCCCUGCUGAGCGGCUGGGUCACCAUGACCUCCCAUGGUGUUACCUGAGGGCAAAUAAUACUGGUGACUAAGACUCGGCCUUCCUGGCCUCACCCACAGAAGGGAGUCACAGGAGUGCACCUGCUCCGGCUUGUUUGGGGAGGGCAAGGGGAACUAAUACAUAGAAAGAAUGCGAGUGCUUCCGAAAGUUCAUAGAAAUGGAAUAAAAGGUAAGUCUAUUUGGGUGCAAAGAAAAACCCUUUGAAAUCCAGGCGUAGUUUCUUGCUUAUCCACAUUUUCCAUGAACUCUGUGAAGAUCCCUCCUACAAAGAAGUACAACUCGGUUGGUGUUCGGUCAACAUCAGCAGGCUCCCGGCCAGCUCUAGUGGACCAUGUUCUGUGCCCGGCUCUCCAGCGACCUCAUUGCACCCCCAUCAGUCAGGGCUUCUCAUUCCCCUGGAAGAGUGAAGGGGCUGAGGAUCCGAGUGGUGCCCGGACUUCCGGCCACACUGCUGGCGCAGGGCUAGAGUCGGGGUUUGGAUCCACACCCGCCUGCACACUCGCGAGUGCAACCAGAAUCUCCACUUUCCCUCUCCCGUUCUUGACUCACCAGGGAGUCAUUUCCUGUACCAUUAGCUGCUUCAAUGCUCCUGUGCCCACUGAGCCCUCCGCCUGCCUCCAGGCCUGUCCUUAUCAGGGAUUUGCUAGAAGGGGAUCCAGUGGGCUUUGACGCACUAAUGGUGCCAAGCCUUCUCUGAUCAAGUUCUUCACAGCUCUUGCCCUCUCUGACGCUGUAGAUUUGAUAUUUUUUGCUGAUUAUCAAAAUACAUAGACAGUAGUCCCUUCCUAACCCCGUCCCCUUACCACUGGUGAAACCUAAGCUCCCUGGCAUGGGGACUAGAUUUGGGUAGCAUGUAAGGUGUGGCUUUCGCCCUAAUACCUAGACCAUUCACAUGCAACAGGGUAUCAUCAUACAGUUUAAGAAGGAACUUGCAAAACCAUCAUAGACAUUUGCAUGUUUAUGGGUGGGGAAAUCCAGAGAGGUUAGGUGACUUCCCUAAGCUCACACAGCUUGGGGUCAAAGCCAUAGAGUAAGCACUGAAUUUUUUUGGGUUCCCCAUCAAGCAAAGGACAGUUCCCGACCCACUUUGUCCUUCUCUUCCAAGCUGAAGGAGGCAGGAAGCACAAGGCACAACCUCGUCAUGUUCUGAAAUCUUUAUUGUUUAUUAAUGCAACAUCACGUGGCGGGGCUGGGGCAUUUGACCUAGGCCUCGCCUUGGCUGUCGGAUACCAUCUCCAAACCAUUAACAGAAUGCAAGUUUACAUUUGUGUCCACUCAGAGACCAUGCUCCUCUGUGGUAACGUGUCCUGUACACCCUAUGGUCCUGUAUAUAGCACAGUGUCAGUGCAACAAAGGUGAAUCGUGACUGUGUGUGUGUUUUCAGGCUCUUGUUUUGUUCAAUGUAAACACUGAAAAAAAAGCUCCAUAAUUUUUGGUAACUUUUCUUUAGAGCUCUCUGUUGUUAUUUCUUAAGAUGCCUCAUGGGGGUGGGCCUGGCCAGCUUCUGUGUGGUCCUGCACCUGUUUACCAUCCAUAUUCCUGGAGGUCCGUCCCCAUCUUCUUUGUUCUGAGGCCCACGGCUCUCUGGAGAGCUCGGAGAGGAGACAGUCUGCUUAGGCACAAGCUCCAACAGGCAGGGCUGGUUGUGCAACUUACUUACCCCUUCAGCCUUGUGCAUCUCUCGUCAGCUCAGCCCUCUGCCUGGUUG
This is a non-coding RNA of Oryctolagus cuniculus (rabbit), 2974 nucleotides long. The record is from RefSeq and is a predicted model, not a curated record. NCBI's taxonomy places the organism in Eukaryota, Metazoa, Chordata, Mammalia, Lagomorpha, Leporidae.